UCUUUUGUAGCUCAGUGGUAGAGCGAAUGGCUGUUAACCAUUAGGUCGUUGGUUCAAUCCCAACCAAAAGAG
Molecule: transfer RNA, 72 nt
Filed under: Monodopsis sp. MarTras21
Lineage: Eukaryota; Eustigmatophyceae; Eustigmatales; Monodopsidaceae
Description: tRNA-Asn
Rfam family: tRNA
About the family: Transfer RNA (tRNA) molecules are approximately 80 nucleotides in length. Their secondary structure includes four short double-helical elements and three loops (D, anti-codon, and T loops).
Source: RNAcentral